ACGGGAGGCAGCAGUGGGGAAUAUUGCACAAUGGGCGCAAGCCUGAUGCAGCGACGCCGCGUGAGUGAAGAAGUAUUUCGGUAUGUAAAGCUCUAUCAGCAGGGAAGAUAAUGACGGUACCUGACUAAGAAGCCCCGGCUAACUACGUGCCAGCAGCCGCGGUAAUACGUAGGGGGCAAGCGUUAUCCGGAUUUACUGGGUGUAAAGGGAGCGUAGACGGCAUGGCAAGUCUGAUGUGAAAACCCGGGGCUCAACCCCGGGACUGCAUUGGAAACUGUCAGGCUAGAGUGCAGGAGGGGUAAGCGGAAUUCCUAGUGUAGCGGUGAAAUGCGUAGAUAUUAGGAGGAACACCGGUGGCGAAGGCGGCUUACUAGACUGUAACUGACGUUGAGGCUCGAAAGCGUGGGGAGCAAACAGGAUUAGAUACCCUGGUA
This 434-nucleotide ribosomal RNA is filed under the name uncultured Clostridium sp. RNAcentral's name for it is "partial 16S ribosomal RNA". It matches the Rfam family "Bacterial small subunit ribosomal RNA", at positions 341 to 792 of the family's 1533-position model. The record is from RNAcentral. Lineage: Bacteria; Bacillati; Bacillota; Clostridia; Eubacteriales; Clostridiaceae.